This 301-nucleotide ribosomal RNA is filed under the name uncultured bacterium. RNAcentral's name for it is "partial 16S ribosomal RNA". It matches the Rfam family "Bacterial small subunit ribosomal RNA", at positions 509 to 807 of the family's 1533-position model. The record is from RNAcentral.
CAGCCGCCACGGUAAUACGUAGGUGGCAAGCGUUGUCCGGAAUUAUUGGGCGUAAAGGGCUCGCAGGCGGUUUCUUAAGUCUGAUGUGAAAGCCCCCGGCUCAACCGGGGAGGGUCAUUGGAAACUGGGAAACUUGAGUGCAGAAGAGGAGAGUGGAAUUCCACGUGUAGCGGUGAAAUGCGUAGAGAUGUGGAGGAACACCAGUGGCGAAGGCGACUCUCUGGUCUGUAACUGACGCUGAGGAGUGGGAGCGUGGGGAGCGAACAGGAUUAGAUACCCCCGUAGUCCCUGUCUCUUAUAC